CUUGGACAUGUCGUCAGGACCUGCUGAGGCUGUGUCACAGGUGCACGUCCUCAACCUUGACAAAAUAAACUUUCUAAAUUAACUGAGACCUAUCUCAGAUAUUCGGGUUUCACAUUUUGGUAACGAUGGAGGGAUUCCGGGUGGAGGUACCCCUGACCUUUGACAAAUCUGCUAUCAGUGCUUGGUACCAGCAUGAGCUAACUUUAUGGCUCAAACCAAUAGGACAAUUUGCUGAGGUCUGGGAGCACUUACUCCAGAAAAUCCCUGAUCUCCCAAAAUUUGAUUGAAAUCAAAAGUUUAUUUUGCUGUAUAACCCCUUUUUUUUGGAUUUUUACUUGCUUCCAACAAGAAAGGCAAGCUUUUCAGCUUCCAUAAUGAUGGAAGGCAGGUAACUCCUUUAUGGAGUUUGAGCUUGCUCCCGGCAGGGAGGACGAGUUUGAGGUUUUUUUCCUGCUUCUAGGAUGGUAGAAAGCAGCCUUUAGCCUGAGACCCAUCCCUAGCUGCUACAUCAGAAUCACUCCUCACAAUGGGAAAAUAUUAAAAAUCCCUUGGAAUGUGAAUCCCUUGGAGGUGGGGAUGACAGCCUCAAAUGGCAUGGCUGAUUCACAAAUUAUGGUCACUAAUUGGCUGAGAUAGUAAAGGACAUUUGAAGACUGAGAAGAACUUGGUGAGACUGAGUGCCAUAUGUAGGAAGAACUGAAAGAAGACCUUGGACUAUGGGGCAACAGAGAAAGGAGAGGGAGGAACUUGGAGAGCAUUGAUUUAUUGACAUAUGGCUGAGAGAUGUUGCCAUUAAUGAAGCUUCAGCCUGCUGAAUGAUGCCAGCCUAAACUUUUCAGCAAGGUGAAGCUUCCAGCUUUUGAAUCUGGGAUCGAGACCAACAGCUUCCACAUGAAGAAUGCCACUAACACAGGAAGAAAAAAAAAGCACUCUGUGCAGAAGUCAACCUUGAAGACUCAAGUUAAGUGCAAAUAUUGCCGACAAG
RNAcentral lists this long non-coding RNA (985 nucleotides) under Homo sapiens (human). Its description in RNAcentral is "HSALNT0407378". Lineage: Eukaryota; Metazoa; Chordata; Mammalia; Primates; Hominidae. The record is from RNAcentral.